RNAcentral lists this ribosomal RNA (373 nucleotides) under uncultured organism. RNAcentral describes it as "partial 16S ribosomal RNA". It matches the Rfam family "Bacterial small subunit ribosomal RNA", at positions 527 to 896 of the family's 1533-position model. The record is from RNAcentral.
GUAGGUGGCAAGCGUUGUCCGGAAUUAUUGGGCGUAAAGCGCGCGCAGGCGGUUUUUUAAGUCUGAUGUGAAAGCCCACGGCUCAACCGUGGAGGGUCAUUGGAAACUGGUGAACUUGAGUACAGAAGAGGAAAGCGGAAUACCACGUGUAGCGGUGAAAUGCGUAGAGAUGUGGAGGAACACCAGUGGCGAAGGCGGCUUUCUGGUCUGUAACUGACGCUGAGGCGCGAAAGCGUGGGGAGCAAACAGGGAUUAGAUACCCUGGUAGUCCACGCCGUAAACGAUGAGUGCUAAGUGUUAGGGGGUUUCCCGCCCCUUAGUGCUGCAGCUAACGCAUUAAGCACUCCGCCUGGGGAGUACGGCCGCAAGGCUG